CCCGAAAGAUAAAAUGUACAUGCAAACGGCGAAAUAAUAUGUUCCGCUUUCCUGGCGGCGUGCGCAUGACAAAAGUGGACAUGUUCCAAUUUGACGUCAUUGACUUCCUGUCCAUCCCGACUGAACAACAUUUCCCGUUUCCUGAGAAAAGAGAGCAGAUCACCAGCGGAUUAUGAUUUUGAAAAGGUUAGUGUCGACCCGUCCGGUGGCGAGAAUUUCUUUCACGAACACUUUGAGCUGCACAUGACAGGAAGUGCCCGCCGGCGCGCGCCACGCUGGCCCCGAUGCUCUGCGGGGUCGCCAAGGGGGCCGACGUCACCGGUACGGGAAGGCCUCUCGGGCGGCCUCGCGCCCUCCCAACCCCCCCGCCGCUGGACCUGCGUGUUGAAUCCGGCAGGCCGGGAAGUGCGCUGGUCGGCUAAUGACGUUCCUCCACCUGCGCUCAACAUUCUCACCUGCCAUUAUGCUCAUUUUAUUAGGGACCCGGGACCAGGCACCAGAGAUCGCCGUCAGAAGUUCAUGCGAGGCGCCGCCGGUCGCUGCCAUCCAAGUGACGAAGUGGAGCUUCAAUUCCCUCCGGGAGCAAAAACUGAAACGGAGGAAACGAGGCAAGCGUUGGACCCCUGGUUGCCAUGGCGACGCGUUUUCGCCAUUCUACGCGUGGCUGUGGACGGAGAUGCUGGACAGGUCGUUCCUGAUGAUCUCAUUGACUGAAAGACAAAAAAAAAAAAAGUCUGAUUUGAUUGACUGCGAGCUUGCCGCGUCGGAGGAGGAACGCCAGCGGCACCGCGGACCCGGAAGGAGUCCGGCACGGCGCCUUUCCGAGGCUUCGGCCGACCUUUGCGUCAUCGACGCCUGCCUUGGUUGCCGGUGCAAAGGUACAGACUAAGUAUUCGAAUGAAUUAGCUUGCGCUGCUAAUUGAAGCUUUUGUUGACAGUUGUCACUGCUAGCAAACGGUUAGCGUAGCAAGCGUUUUAAAUUUGGUUGCCAUGACAACAGAGCAAACUGAUCCCAAGGUACAGACCAAGUCUUCGAAUGUAUUAGCUUGCGCUGCUAAUUCAAGCGUUGAGCACCAGACGCAACGUCUUGAACACAACAGCUACUGAAGAAAUGGGAAAACCGAACGGCGCUUGCGGCAUCUCGUGCUAGCGACGGAAAGUUAGCGGCAAGGUGAAUGUUACGUUGGUAAAAUUAAGGAAAAACUAAAUGGAAAAAAAAGGACGGAAUACACAAUGUAUUGAAUUCAUUCUUGCCAAAUAUCUCUCUCUCCUUUUCCUGAGCCACUCAUCCUCACGAAGGUCGCCGGAACGCCGGAGCCAAUCCCGGCUGAGAUCCGGCAAGAGGCGGGGCUUACCCUGAACCGGUCGCCGGCCAAUUGUUUCAGUGACGUGGACCAACUCAGAAACGUAAAAGUUGACGUGCGCCGGCGCCGAGAGACGCCGGUUGCGGUACGGCGGGAUUUCCACCAGCAGCGUGUUCUGAAAGACAAAAGGACGAAAAAGCUCAAAGUCUAGAAAUGCCGUUGUGGGGCGAAUCCCGACGCAGAAUCUUUGUGUUCAAACCGUUUCCAUGUCGAAUGGACUCAAAUGACGACGACAAAAGGCCGGAAACGCUCGUGCCGAUCCCGCGACGCGAGUGACCGGCGCCCGCAAACUGGACUUUUAACGGGGAGGAGUAAAUGUCAACAAAUGGGGCGUGAAGCCUCCGCGGGCCAAACGUUCCGGCGCUUUCUCUCUCUCGUGUGUGUAGAAAGGUGGGAGCAGGUGCAGCGCCUUGUAAAAACAAGACGCUAAUCCCACCGCUGCCGCUCCGCUAAGUUCACCAGGGGAAAAAAAAAAAAAGUGGAGACCGGCACCGCCGCACGUAACGUGAGGUCAUAUUUUCACUUGUGUACACGAAACUCCGAACAGUUGUACGAAUCCGGCUGAGAUAAAAAAAAAAAAUGCUAACUUGAAAUCGACCCGGUUAGCGGAGUCAUUGUCGCGUUUCUUCCAAAUAUUCGGCUCCGUUAUUAGAAUCACGAUUCUUAGCUUUGCUACGCACAAUCCGGGAAAACCAAAACCGAAAACCAGGAAAAUGGAGUCCGCAGCCGUGAGCGUGACGCUUUUUGGACCGCUAAAACCGAUGAAACGCGGGAGGUUAGAACUGCAACCGAGCCCAGUUUGGACCCGAGAAAAACAAAGCACUUGCCGGCGGAAGCAAAUGGGCCACACUCAGACCGGCGACCUAACGAAGGGGGCUGAGUCGAGAAACGGGUCGGGAGCGGGAAAUCGGGAAGCGGCGACAUCGGCGCCUUUUUUUUUUUUUUUUUUUUUUUUUUUUGCGUGUGUGCUGAUUUACG
Molecule: long non-coding RNA, 2342 nt
Organism: Syngnathoides biaculeatus (alligator pipefish)
Lineage: Eukaryota; Metazoa; Chordata; Actinopteri; Syngnathiformes; Syngnathidae
Exons: 5
Source: RefSeq, a predicted model, not a curated record